GAGUCCUUCCUUGGAGAGUGUCCUAGGCCUGGCGGGUUCGUUUAUCUUUUUUCUUUCUCCAGAAUGGAGUGGAAGACACUCUGUCUGAGACCUCAGUUUCAUCUCUGCCUGGAAUAGUCAAGAAGCUCCAUUGAUGCUUGUAAGGGAUUUUCUGCUAGAAUUGAGUCUUCUGUCCCAAAGAACUGUCAGAAGUGACAGAAAUGCACAAGUGGGAGGAGAAAUGUGAUCAGUCACUCAUAAGAGAAAAUGAAAUGAAUGUAAUAAACACCUUCAUUGGAAUGAGAACCGACAUUUAUAAGUUCAUCAGAAAAUGUCUACAUUUCCUGUCUUACUCCCUUUCCUGGUCAGCGGAAUGGAUCAAUGCAGCACUGGCAAUCUCAUGCCAACAUCAACUCUUUAAAAUUUAGAUAGCUGCUGCUUCUAUGAACUGAGCACCACAGGAAAGAGUGAAACACUGGGAUGAUCCACAGGAAGCAUAUCGAGAAGUUUCAUGCCCAAUCUACGAGUACAAGUCAUGUUCAGAACUCAACAGUCCUCAGUCUGUUCAG
RNAcentral lists this long non-coding RNA (548 nucleotides) under Phasianus colchicus (ring-necked pheasant). RNAcentral describes it as "lncRNA (ENSPCLG00000003433.1)". The record is from RNAcentral. Lineage: Eukaryota; Metazoa; Chordata; Aves; Galliformes; Phasianidae.